AUUGAACGCUGGCGGCAGGCCUAACACAUGCAAGUCGAGCGGAUGAAGGGAGCUUGCUCCUUGAUUCAGCGGCGGACGGGUGAGUAAUGCCUAGGAAUCUGCCUGGUAGUGGGGGAUAACGUCCGGAAACGGGCGCUAAUACCGCAUACGUCCUGAGGGAGAAAGUGGGGGAUCUUCGGACCUCCCGCUAUCAGAUGAGCCUAGGUCGGAUUAGCUAGUUGGUGGGGUAAAGGCCUACCAAGGCGACGAUCCGUAACUGGUCUGAGAGGAUGAUCAGUCACACUGGAACUGAGACACGGUCCAGACUCCUACGGGAGGCAGCAGUGGGGAAUAUUGGACAAUGGGCGAAAGCCUGAUCCAGCCAUGCCGCGUGUGUGAAGAAGGUCUUCGGAUUGUAAAGCACUUUAAGUUGGGAGGAAGGGCAGUAAGUUAAUACCUUGCUGUUUUGACGGUACCAACAGAAUAAGCACCGGCUAACUUCGUG
Molecule: ribosomal RNA, 484 nt
Filed under: uncultured bacterium
Lineage: Bacteria
Description: partial 16S ribosomal RNA
Rfam family: Bacterial small subunit ribosomal RNA
Source: RNAcentral